RNAcentral lists this ribosomal RNA (711 nucleotides) under uncultured Eubacteriales bacterium. RNAcentral describes it as "bacterial SSU rRNA". It matches the Rfam family "Bacterial small subunit ribosomal RNA", at positions 94 to 823 of the family's 1533-position model. Lineage: Bacteria; Bacillati; Bacillota; Clostridia; Eubacteriales. The record is from RNAcentral.
AGUGGCGGACGGGUGAGGAACACGUAGCUGAUGUGCCUUCAAGUCUGGGAUAACUUCCCGAAAGGGACGCUAAUACCGGAUAAGCUCACGAGCUUUAGAGGCUUGAGAGAAAAGGUUCACUGCUUGAAGAGCAGGCUGCGACCUAUCAGGUAGUUGGCGGGGUAAAAGCCCACCAAGCCGACGACGGGUAAGGGGUCUGAGAGGAUGACCCCUCACACUGGGACUGAGACACGGCCCAGACUCCUACGGGAGGCAGCAGUGAGGGAUAUUGCACAAUGGGGGAAACCCUGAUGCAGCGACGCCGCGUGGGUGAAGAAGGUCUUCGGAUCGUAAAGCCCUUUUCUGCAUGACGAGAGAGGACGGUAGUGCAGGAAUAAGCCUCGGCUAACUACGUGCCAGCAGCCGCGGUAAAACGUAGGAGGCGAGCGUUAUCCGGAGUUACUGGGCGUAAAGCGUGCGUAGGCGGUUUCGUAAGUGGGACGUGAAAGCUCCCGGCUAAACUGGGAGAGGACGACUCAGACUGCGAAACUAGAGGGCGAUAGAGGAGCGCGGAAUCCGGGGUGUAGCGGUGAAAUGCGUAGAGAUCCCGAGGAACACCAGUGGCGCAAACGGCGCUCUGGGUUGCUGCUGACGCUGAGGCACGAAAGCUUGGGGAGCGAACGGGAUUAGAGACCCCGGUAGUCCAAGCCGUAAACGAUGUCAACUGGGUGU